GGACUACCGGGGUUUCUAAUCCUGUUUGCUCCCCUUGCUCUCGCGCCUCAGCGUCAGGUAUAAACUAGAAAACCGCUUUCGCCACAGGUGUUCUUCCACAUAUCUACGCAUUUCACCGCUACACGUGGAAUUCCGUUUUCUCCGUCAAUCCUCUAGAAACACAGUUUCAAAUGCAGCUCCGAAGUUGAGCUUCGGAAUUUCACAUCUGACUUUCGCUCCCGCCUACGCGCCCUUUACGCCCAAUAAUUCCGAUUAAUGCUUGCACUCUCCGUAUUACCGCGGCUGCUGGCAC
This 292-nucleotide ribosomal RNA is filed under the name uncultured bacterium. RNAcentral describes it as "partial 16S ribosomal RNA". The record is from RNAcentral.